Molecule: long non-coding RNA, 1057 nt
Filed under: Phasianus colchicus (ring-necked pheasant)
Lineage: Eukaryota; Metazoa; Chordata; Aves; Galliformes; Phasianidae
Description: lncRNA (ENSPCLG00000004182.1)
Source: RNAcentral
CUGAAGUCUCCAUGGGCACUGGGUAACAAGAGAACUCACUGCACCUGAAACCUUGGUGAUAAGAAAAGGCAAAUGCUGUAGGCACAGCUCUUCUCCUCUAUUCUCCAAACUCUUUCUUUCCUAUAGCUCUCUGUUGUCCUCACUUGCAGGCUGACGGCCUGAUCCUAUUCUCUGUCAUUUGUGUUUCUGUUGCUCGCCUUGUUGCAAGGCUGCAAAUAUCUCUUUUGCUACUUCUUGCUGUUCACUGGGGGUAUUGGGCCUCUUCCAGCUGUUUUUCUUUUCUUUUUUUUUUUUUUUUUUUAAUUGGAACAAGUUUGCCUGAGGCUAAAAAAAAAGGAAAGGGAGGAAGAGGGAGCAAGUGGGGAGAAAGGUGUAGCUUGUAAGGACAUAGUACAUCUGGGAGGGAAAAAGUUUCCCUGCAAACCAGGGCAGAGCAAAUGAGGAGGGAAAAUGGAAAGGAGCUAAAGACAGAGUAGAAAGUGGUUUUCUGGAUACUUACUUGGAGUUCAUCAGAAGCUGCCCCGUUUGAACAGAAGGUUAAACAGCGGAUGGAGCACGCCUGUCCCCAGCAUGCCCUCUGCAAUGGUGGAAAGAAGGCUGAAACAGUGCACAUCACCGCCACUAUUAAACUAAGAGCAUCUUACUUUAUCUGCUUCUUGUCAUCAGGUUUCAAUAAUUCUCCAAAGAGAAGUAUCUCAUUUGCAUCCCACUGGACGAAAGAGCACAUGAUUUCUUGCAAUACAAGUGGUAAUUCCUUUUAACAGCAUAUAUACUGACAAUGAAAAGAGACCACUGUAUAGUACACUUUAUUUACAGUUUUAAAUUUUGGGAUCGUUUUUCAUCUGGUGUCAGUUCCAUUCACUUCAAAGUCAUUCCAAUAAUUCUCAUGGUAUUAUCAUUUAACUUCAUAUGUUGCAUCCUCCUUUGUGUUUAUACAACUGACAGAACUGUACAAUUUGAGCCUCAUAGUAUGAGGUAGAAUUUAAUAACCAAAUAAUCAAAAUUAUGGACUUUCCCGUCUUCCGACUACCUUCAAUAAAGUCAGAAAAUAUUCCCA